UUACGGUCAAAUCACGCUGAAACACCGGUUCUCGUACGAUCACCGAAGUUAAGCAGCGUAGAGCCAGGUCAGUACUUAGAUGGGGACCGCUUGGAAACACCUGGUACUGUAAG
This 113-nucleotide ribosomal RNA is filed under the name Acanthosepion pharaonis. The record is from RNAcentral. Lineage: Eukaryota; Metazoa; Mollusca; Cephalopoda; Sepiida; Sepiidae.